UACAGAGGUCCCAAGCGUUGUUCGGAUUCACUGGGCGUAAAGGGUGCGUAGGUGGUGAGGUAAGUCGGAUGUGAAAGCUCGGAGCUCAACUCCGAAAUGGCAUUGGAAACUACCUUGCUCGAGGGUUGGAGGGGGGACUGGAAUACUUGGUGUAGCAGUGAAAUGCGUAGAUAUCAAGUGGAACACCAGUGGCGAAGGCGAGUCCCUGGAUAACUCCUGACACUGAGGCACGAAAGCUAGGGGAGCAAACAGG
This 253-nucleotide ribosomal RNA is filed under the name uncultured bacterium. RNAcentral describes it as "partial 16S ribosomal RNA". It matches the Rfam family "Bacterial small subunit ribosomal RNA", at positions 524 to 776 of the family's 1533-position model. The record is from RNAcentral.